Vidua macroura (Pin-tailed whydah) is the source of this 2047-nucleotide long non-coding RNA. RefSeq lists it as uncharacterized. NCBI's taxonomy places the organism in Eukaryota, Metazoa, Chordata, Aves, Passeriformes, Viduidae. The transcript has 4 exons. The record is from RefSeq and is a predicted model, not a curated record.
UUUUUUUAUUCCCUGCAGACUGUUCUCUCUCAGGGGCUGCCUGUGGUGCUGCAUUAACAUCACAUCUCUGUGGAGAAGAAAUGAAGAGGAUGCAGCAGAGACCAAAAUGAAAUUCUCCUCAGAGUGGUCCAGAAGGAUGGAUAACUGCAAGAAAAUAUUAUUCCAUGGCUCUGGAAAAGGAGUAUCCACUUCUUUAGUAACCUGGACACAGCAGCAGCCUCCUCCUGCCACCAGCUCCCACGAGGAGCCAGCUGCACACCUGCAACCAGGCAAGGAGGGAGCAGGAGCUGUUGAGCCACGAGGAAGGCGAGCGAUGGCAGGUUCCUGUAGCAUUUCCACCCCGCGGGGCUCUUGGCGAGCCAGCGCUCGUCUGCUUUGAAAGCUCUUAGUGCUCCUGCAGUUCAGCACUCCGAAUGAUGAGCCUGCAGGCUGGAGGGAGAGCUCCCGAGAGAGGCGCCUGCGUGCAGGAGAUGGACACAACAAGUGUCUCACAUGGGUCGGUAUCUGAAGCGAUGUCUCUCUAAUUUUCUACAUCACUGAGAGCACAGCACAGCACCAUCAAUCACAGUCAACCUCCCCUCAGAAAGCCACCUCCUGUCUCACUGUGCUGUGGUGUCCCCCUGUGCUCCUGCCCAGGCUGGGGACCGCAGGUGUCCCGAGCAGCAGCACUGCAGGUACUGUCCCUCCCAGGGGGUUCUCAUUUGUUGUGUUAGAGCUUGCUUGGGGUUCUGUCUGUCUCCUUCCUCCACCCCCAGUGCCUGCUCCUUGCCAGCACCUCAUUUCCAGAUGCAUCUUCCCCUCCUGGAGUCAGAAAAGGCCAAAUGCUCCCUUCGUCUCCAGUGAGGAGAAGGUGUGGGGCUGCCUUACCUGGGAUAAACUCACUGUGUGCUGCCUGGGGGAGGCCUGAGGGUGCGCUUGGUGCUUGUGCUGCUCAUCUGAGGAUGGGGAGGUUGGCCUUUGCGGGUCCCAUGGAGCCAUCAGGGCAUGCUCAGGACUGGCUUCUUUGCCCCAGCUCUGGGCGUGGAGCAGCAUUCAUGCUGUGCUUGUCAUGCAAUGCAGCAGCUCUUGGUCCCUCAUCUCUCUUUUUGUGAAUCCCCCUGCUCCUUCCUGGCCUGGCUUGUUUGUACAAGACUCAGGGGCACUGCUUUGGCAGGAACAGUGGUGGUGGCUCUUCUCCUGGCCAGGCACACUCCUAGAGUAGCCAGAGGGCUGGUGGGACACAGAUCUGUGCCUGUGGCUGUUUCUUCUACUGCAGCACGGACAUAGCCUGUGGGUUUGCUGCCUCUUGCUUCUUUAUCUCUAUCAUGUGCUAAAUUGGGUGCUUUUCCUCAGUUGUGGUGGCUCUUGGACCUACCAAAACCUGGCUGACUUGUUCCUGGUAUCAUGAUACAGAAGUUGUUUACAGCCCCAUAUCUGACUCCAUGGGCUCAAGCUCCAGCUAGAAAACCAAGGACUGAGCUGCUUUCUUGAGCACAGCCUUAGAGAGAAGCAUUUUCAGAAGAAACUCUUGCAAUUGCCACCUCCCUCUCAGCCUCUUCACUGAUUUCUGCUGAGCAUCCUUGACCUCUUUCUCAGGCAUGGUUCCCUGUAUGUAUCAGCCCUGCUCUGGUGUUGUGGAGCUGUUGCUGGCAUCUGUAAUAGCUGCAUUGUUUACUUCCCAAGUGCCUGCCCUUUCUGUAAUGAGCUGUAAUUCAUCCUGCUUUAUACAGGGCUCCAGGAUACCUGGAGCAAGGAGGGUGUGCCAUUAAACCACCUCCUAGGCUGCUAUCUGGACCUGGGAUUGCUGAUCUCCUGGAGAUGUAAAAUAGGGAGGACAACGGGGACCAGAUGGAAAUGGGGAAUAAUUACCUUGCAGGGUGAAGGGGGCUGGCUGGGUUGGUAACUGCUGGGAGCUGACAUGCAGGUGCAGAUGGAUGGUUACAGCAGGCAGGGCAGAGGGAUGAAAGAUGCCUCUUUAAAGCAUCUGCCUUCCUCUCUUCCUCUGCUUUAUAACCUGAUUUUAUAGAGACUGCAUGAGGAACACAUUUUUUUUAUUAGCAGCUUGGGA